AAAUGUGGAUAAUCAUCAUUGGUUAAAAACUAUGACGUUUGGGUGACGUCUUGCUACGUAGAAUACAGUCGAUGAAGUAAUAAUGACAUAACCUAUGUUUUUAACGAGAGCUCAGUGUGAACAGGAAUUUGAGAGAGUUAUGAAGUCGAGAGACAGUUUUUUUCAGGUAACUGGAGUACGAGGCAGUGAAAGCAGCCGAAAGUCAACCGUUGUUUUCAUUUUCAAGAAAAAGGUAACACAGAGGAAGUGGCAAAGAGCAGGAGCCUUAGAAGAUCCAACAUUAAAAGGUUGCAGGGGAUACUCAAGGCAGCAUGGCAAAUAUGAGGAUGUGCGGGGUCAUGGUGACCUCCGGGAUGGUUUUGGGCACAAUCGCCGCCGCCGCUGUCUGCUUGCUGGGCUCACUGGUUCUAUUCUCCCUGUUCGCCUCUUCCACGUGCUACGACGACUACGACUGGCACGACUACAGCUGUAGCAGAUACACGACAAAUCUCUUCAUAAGUGGGCUCUUUUUGAUGGUGAUCGGAGCGACGGUUGGGGUCGGCGGAAGCAUGAUGUUCUUCCAGCUGAAGAGGAACUCGAAGGAAGCCCUGACUUCGGGAGGACUGGGUCACUUCACCGUCCUCACUUCUCAUCCGGACGAAACGAUGGCGCAAGAGAAGACGCCGUCCUUCUAUUCUUAGGACAAUCGAAUGUUCCGUAGGUUAAACGUGAGGAAAAAGAAAACGCUUAUGUUUCUGUGCGAAAUAAAACACAACCGCGUCAACUUGAUUUUCAAGAAACGCUCAAAAUGAGAACCUAUUUUUAUUAAGCAUGAAAGGAGUGUUUUGUAUACAUAAUUAUUUGCGAAAUAAUGAACGAGAAAGACUCUUUUUCAAUAGGUAUUGCUUGUUCUUUUUGAAGACUGACUUUUGCUUCAUAAUUUAUAAGAAUGAUAUACUAGAAAAAAAAUGUGAUUUCUCUCGUAAGACUUUGUUGCUAAUGAAUGACGUAUAAGAAAUAUAUUUUGUUAACAUUGAAAAA
Molecule: RNA transcript, 1020 nt
Organism: Macrobrachium nipponense
Lineage: Eukaryota; Metazoa; Arthropoda; Malacostraca; Decapoda; Palaemonidae
Exons: 5
Source: RefSeq, a predicted model, not a curated record